GGAGAGUUGCCGGAGUGGUCGAACGGGGCGGUCUCGAAAACCGUUGUUCCGCUUUGCGGAACCAAGGGUUCGAAUCCCUUACUCUCCGCUA
This 91-nucleotide transfer RNA is filed under the name Marinilabiliales bacterium. Its description in RNAcentral is "tRNA-Ser". It matches the Rfam family "tRNA". Rfam says of the family: Transfer RNA (tRNA) molecules are approximately 80 nucleotides in length. Their secondary structure includes four short double-helical elements and three loops (D, anti-codon, and T loops). Lineage: Bacteria; Pseudomonadati; Bacteroidota; Bacteroidia; Marinilabiliales. The record is from RNAcentral.